AGGGUUCAGAUAUGAGGGUCCCUUUUUAAAAUCCCUCUAUAGUUAAAGAAAUCACAGGCAUUCACAUUCACACAUUUUGUAGUAGGGGACUGAGAGAGAGACAUUUAGCAGCUCUUGAGUGACCGCAAUAUUCAGAAGGUAAAGACUGCUCUUGCCUGGAUUUCUUCACAAAAGAACUUUAACAAGACCCAGACAGAUGAUCUGCAACAGUACAUCUGGGAUAAUAAAAAGUGUACCAAUCAAUACAAAUGCAAGCGACUGGAGCCAUGACAAAGACCACGGUAUGAGACUACUAAGAAAGACUGCAACUUGAAGUAUCACAGGAAGACAAAAAAUGAAACAAGAGAAAGAUAGAUGCUGUCAUAGAAACUGAUCUUUUCACUUACCAUUACAUCUUUUGGACUAUGGGACUUCAUUGGCUAUAAAAAACAAAAAAAGUAAUCUUAUAAAUUUACAGAAACUAUUCCAAGUGUGACAUUAAACAUAACUCUUCACCAGACUUACUCUCAUUACCAAUAAUGAGAAGGAAUUGAAAUGCUUUCAAAACUACUGCAAACAGGAAUGUACAUUUGCCAUGUUUUAGGAAUAUUACCAAGAAAAUAUUUACACAGUGAAUACCAUUAACCUACCAGUUUGCAAAAUGUCUAUCUAGUGAAGCAGCAUUUGGAGCGAAAAAAAAAAAGAGAAAAUAUUAUUAGUCAUCCCAGGAUACAUUAACAAUCCUCCUAACACAGACAAUAAUGUCUUUGAAGGAAAACUUUAAGGAUUUAAUUCUGUAUAUUGAAAGACAAAGCAGAACACAGUAGGAUUCUAAAAAGUCCAUGCCAGUCUUAUUCUGACUCCUGGAACAGUAAGAAGAGAAAAAAAUCUAAACAGAGAGCAAAGCAUGAUAUUGAAGUGUGGAGGUAUUAAUAUACUGUUUAUUACUGUUACUAAAUGCAUUUGUUCAACAUGUUUUAUUUGGUUUCUGCUUAAAUUAUAUUGAUUGUAAUAAGUAUUGUAUUGUGCAAUUCUUUUUCCUGUAUCAGUGCUAAAUAAUAUAAUAGCUGCCAUGAAGUGGUCUAAUCUUACAUUAUCUAUUUUUUAUUUUCUACAUAAUAAAGUAAGAACAGAAAUAAUGUCAUUUCAAUAUGGAUAUUUUAUUCAUUCAUAGCUGGUAUAAUGAGGAAUUUUUUUAAAAAACACAUUAUUUCUUAAGGUGCAUCACGCCAAGAUGCUUACAAUUCAACUACAUAAAAAUAGGCUGUAGCACAAGAAGAACAUUCACUUAGUUCUGGUAUAAACUUUAG
Long non-coding RNA from Corapipo altera (White-ruffed manakin), 1289 nucleotides. RefSeq lists it as uncharacterized. The transcript is spliced from 3 exons. NCBI's taxonomy places the organism in Eukaryota, Metazoa, Chordata, Aves, Passeriformes, Pipridae. The record is from RefSeq and is a predicted model, not a curated record.